GAUGAACGCUGGCGGCGUGCUUAACACAUGCAAGUCGAACGAAGAGCGAUGGACGCUUUCCUCUAUCACUCUUAGUUGCGUAAGGGUGAGUCAGGCGUAAUCAACCUGCCCUGCAGAGCUGGACAGCAGUUGGGAACGACUGCUAAUACCGCCUGCGAACUAACCUCGGCAUCGAGGUUUGAUGAAAGGUGGCCUCUAUUUAUCAGCUAUCACUGAAGGAAGGGACUGCGUCUAUUAGCUAGUUGGAGGGGUAACGGCCCACCAAGGCGAUGAUCAGUAGCCGGCCUGAGAGGACGAACGGACACAUUGGGACUGAGACACGGCCCAGAAUCCUACGGGAGGCAGCAGUGGGGAAUCUUCCGCAAUGGACGAAAGUCUGACGGAGCAACGACGCGUGAGUGAUGACGGCCUUCGGGUUGUAAAGCUCUGUUAAUCGGGACGAAAGGCCUUCUUGCGAAUAAUUAGAAGGAUUGACGGUACCGGAAGAGAAAGCCACGGCUAAAUACGUG
This 509-nucleotide ribosomal RNA is filed under the name uncultured bacterium. RNAcentral's name for it is "partial 16S ribosomal RNA". It matches the Rfam family "Bacterial small subunit ribosomal RNA", at positions 28 to 507 of the family's 1533-position model. The record is from RNAcentral.